This 200-nucleotide ribosomal RNA is filed under the name uncultured bacterium. Its description in RNAcentral is "partial 16S ribosomal RNA". It matches the Rfam family "Bacterial small subunit ribosomal RNA", at positions 8 to 206 of the family's 1533-position model. The record is from RNAcentral.
AGAGUUUGAUCCUGGCUCAGAAUCAACGCUGGCGGCGUGCCUAACACAUGCAAGUCGAACGCGAAGAUCCCGCAAGGGAUUUGUAGCGUGGCAAACGGGUGAGUAACGCGUGGGCGACCUACCCUCGAGUGGGGGAUAACCUUCCGAAAGGAGGGCUAAUACCGCAUGACAUCCCGUGUUUGGAUACACGGAGAUCAAAG